UUACCAUGGUUUGACACCCAGUAGCCGAUAUCUUUUUCGUGCUGGGGUGUCGUUAAACAUUCAUUCAUUCAUUCAUUCGUUCCAGAAUUAACUCAGGAAUAAUAAUUUUUUUAAGUCUUGUACUGGACAACAAGAGGGGUUUCCCAAAUAAUUUGUGGCUAAAUAUAGCAUGGUCACCAUCUUUGUUUCUUUGCCAGUUGUCUUCAAAGAAUUGUGGUAAAAAUGUAGUCUGUUUAAUGUGUACACAUAAAACAGUGACAUCACUAGUUAAUGCGUGUGACACACUUGCAAGAUUCCCCCUAAAAUACUUUUUUUUUUUCUACUAGUAAAUGGAAUUAUUUUAUUGUAAAUUUUAUAUAGGCAUAAACUUUGUUUCCAAGGAAACAUUAAAAAAUAUUUUUGGCAGAAACGGCCAUUAUCUGCAACUUUGACAUAGCACCUUUAAUACUAAUAGUUUGAGUGAUCAUAUAGUGUUGACUAAAAUACUUUGUUAUAGAUAUGUAUGUGUGUUAUUAAUAUAUAGGAACAUUAAAAUGUAGAUUUUUUUUUUUUAAAUGUUAA
This is a long non-coding RNA of Gigantopelta aegis, 561 nucleotides long. RefSeq lists it as uncharacterized. The transcript is spliced from 2 exons. The record is from RefSeq and is a predicted model, not a curated record. Lineage: Eukaryota; Metazoa; Mollusca; Gastropoda; Neomphalida; Peltospiridae.